GAUGAACGCUGGCGGCGUGCCUAAUACAUGCAAGUCGAGCGAACGGACGAGAAGCUUGCUUCUCUGAUGUUAGCGGCGGACGGGUGAGUAACACGUGGAUAACCUACCUAUAAGACUGGGAUAACUUCGGGAAACCGUAGCUAAUACCGGAUAAUAUUUUGAACCGCAUGGUUCAAAAGUGAAAGACGGUCUUGCUGUCACUUAUAGAUGGAUCCGCGCUGCAUUAGCUAGUUGGUAAGGUAACGGCUUACCAAGGCAACGAUGCAUAGACGACCUGAGAGGGUGAUCGGCCACACUGGAACUGAGACACGGUCCAGACUCCUACGGGAGGCAGCAGUAGGGAUUCUUCCGCAAUGGGCGAAAGCCUGACGGAGCAACGCCGCGUGAGUGAUGAAGGUCUUCGGAUCGUAAAACUCUGUUAUUAGGGAAGAACAUAUGUGUAAGUAACUGUGCACAUCUUGACGGUACCUAAUCAGAAAGCCACGGCUAACUACGUG
RNAcentral lists this ribosomal RNA (497 nucleotides) under uncultured bacterium. Its description in RNAcentral is "partial 16S ribosomal RNA". It matches the Rfam family "Bacterial small subunit ribosomal RNA", at positions 28 to 507 of the family's 1533-position model. The record is from RNAcentral.